GGAUGAGCCCGCGGCCUAUCAGCUUGUUGGUGAGGUAAUGGCUCACCAAGGCGACGACGGGUAGCCGGCCUGAGAGGGCGACCGGCCACACUGGGACUGAGACACGGCCCAGACUCCUACGGGAGGCAGCAGUGGGGAAUAUUGCACAAUGGGCGAAAGCCUGAUGCAGCGACGCCGCGUGAGGGAUGACGGCCUUCGGGUUGUAAACCUCUUUCAGCAGGGAAGAAGCGAAAGUGACGGUACCUGCAGAAGAAGCGCCGGCUAACUACGUGCCAGCAGCCGCGGUAAUACGUAGGGCGCAAGCGUUGUCCGGAAUUAUUGGGCGUAAAGAGCUCGUAAGCGGUCUGUCGCGUCGGAUGUGAAACCCCGGGGCUUACCCCCGGGUCUGCAUUCGAUACGGGCAGACUAGAGUGUGGUAGGGGAGAUCGGAAUUCCUGGUGUAGCGGUGAAAUGCGCAGAUAUCAGGAGGAACACCGGUGGCGAAGGCGGAUCUCUGGGCCAUUACUGACGCUGAGGAGCGAAAGCCUUGGGGGAGCGAACAGGGAUUA
This 548-nucleotide ribosomal RNA is filed under the name uncultured Actinomycetes bacterium. RNAcentral's name for it is "bacterial SSU rRNA". It matches the Rfam family "Bacterial small subunit ribosomal RNA", at positions 223 to 780 of the family's 1533-position model. Lineage: Bacteria; Bacillati; Actinomycetota; Actinomycetes. The record is from RNAcentral.